This 659-nucleotide long non-coding RNA is filed under the name Nannospalax galili (Upper Galilee mountains blind mole rat). Its description in RNAcentral is "lncRNA (ENSNGAG00000024422.1)". The record is from RNAcentral. Lineage: Eukaryota; Metazoa; Chordata; Mammalia; Rodentia; Spalacidae.
GUUGAGGUGUAAAAUGCUUGCCUACCAUGCAGGAAGCCCUGGGAGCCAGGUGGAUGAUAAAACUAGUUAUCAGUUGUGUGCUUGGGUGGUACCUAAAAAUCUUGACAAGGCAUCUGAUUUAUGUAAAAGGCCCUGGAUUUGAACCUUAGCACUGCACAUAAGAGGAGUUACUGUACUGAGAAUUUAAUUUUUCCCCCCUCUAGCUAUUAUUUGGAAAGCAGAUCUAUUAAUGAGAAAGAUUAUCAUAGUCGACGGUACAUUGAUGAAUACAGAAAUGACUACAUGGGAUGUGAGCCAGGACAUCAUUAUCGAGACCGUGAAAGCAGAAAUCAGAAUCAUAGUAGCAAAUCCUCUGGUAGAAGUGGAAGAAGUAGUUACAAAAGUAAACACAGGAUUCACCACAGUACUUCACAUCAUCAUUCACAUGGGAAGAGUCACCGAAGGAAAAGAACCAGGAGUGUAGAGGAUGAUGAGGAGGGUCACCUGAUCUGUCAGAGUGGAGACGUACUAAGUGCAAGAUAUGAAAUUGUUGAUACUUUAGGUGAAGGAGCUUUUGGAAAAGUAGUGGAGUGCAUCGAUCAUAAAGCGUAAGUUUCCUAUACUAGGAUUAUAUGUUACGAAUUUUGCAGUAGAAAAAAUUAAGUUUACAUGAUAGGCCU